Molecule: unclassified non-coding RNA, 390 nt
Filed under: soil metagenome
Description: partial contains 5.8S ribosomal RNA, internal transcribed spacer 2, and large subunit ribosomal RNA
Rfam family: 5.8S ribosomal RNA (bases 1-122)
Source: RNAcentral
GAUGAAGAACGUAGCGAAAUGCGAUACUUGGUGUGAAUUGCAGAAUCCCGCGAAUCAUCGAGUUUUUGAACGCAAGUUGCGCCCGAAGCCAUUCGGCCGAGGGCACGUCUGCCUGGGUGUCACGCAUCGUUGCCCCCCCAAACUCCGGCUCGAGCGGGGCGGAAGUUGGCCUCCCGUGCGUGCCUGCGCGCGCGGUUAGCCCAAAAGCGAGUCCUCGGCGACGAGCGCCACGACAAUCGGUGGUUUUUUUACCCUCGUUCCUCGUCGUGCGUGCCCCGUCGCCCGAACGCGCUCUUGCGACCCUUACGCGUCGCCUCGGCGGCGCUCCCAACGCGACCCCAGGUCAGGCGGGACUACCCGCUGAGUUUAAGCAUAUCAAUAAGCGGAGGA